GCAUUGGUGGUUCAGUGGUAGAAUUUUCGCCUCCCACGCGGGAGACCCGGGUUCGAUUCCCGGCCGGUGCA
Loxodonta africana (African savanna elephant) is the source of this 71-nucleotide transfer RNA. It matches the Rfam family "tRNA". Rfam says of the family: Transfer RNA (tRNA) molecules are approximately 80 nucleotides in length. Their secondary structure includes four short double-helical elements and three loops (D, anti-codon, and T loops). Lineage: Eukaryota; Metazoa; Chordata; Mammalia; Proboscidea; Elephantidae. The record is from Rfam.